RNAcentral lists this ribosomal RNA (253 nucleotides) under uncultured bacterium. RNAcentral's name for it is "partial 16S ribosomal RNA". It matches the Rfam family "Bacterial small subunit ribosomal RNA", at positions 524 to 776 of the family's 1533-position model. The record is from RNAcentral.
UACAGAGACUGCAAGCGUUAUUCGGAUUCAUUGGGCGUAAAGCGUCCGCAGGUGGCUAUGUAAGUCUGCUGUUAAAGAGUGAGGCUCAACCUCAUAAGAGCAGUGGAAACUACAUGGCUAGAGUGCGUUCGGGGCAGAGGGAAUUCCUGGUGUAGCGGUGAAAUGCGUAGAGAUCAGGAAGAACACCGGUGGCGAAAGCGCUCUGCUAGGUCGCAACUGACACUCAUGGACGAAAGCUAGGGGAGCGAAUGGG